This 1767-nucleotide ribosomal RNA is filed under the name Capsicum baccatum. RNAcentral's name for it is "SSU rRNA". It matches the Rfam family "Eukaryotic small subunit ribosomal RNA". The record is from RNAcentral. Lineage: Eukaryota; Viridiplantae; Streptophyta; Magnoliopsida; Solanales; Solanaceae.
CCUGGUUGAUCCUACCAAUAGUCAUAUGCUUUUCUCAAAUAUUAAGCCAUGCAUAUGUAAGUAAUAACAAAUUCAGACUGUGAAACUGUGAAUGGCUCAUUAAAUAAAUUAUAGUUUGUUUGAUGGUAUCCACUACUCGAAUAACCAUAGUAAUUCUUGAGCUAAUAUGUAGAACAAAGCCUAACUUAUGAAAUCAAUGUGGGCUCUGCUCGUUGUUGCGAUGAUUCAUGAUAACUCGAUGAAUUACACGGCCAUCAUGCCGGUUAUGCAUUAUUCAAAUUUCUGCCCUAUCAACUUUCGAUGGUAGGAUAAUGGCCUACCAUGGUGGUGACGGGUGAAAGAGAUUUAGUGUUCGAUUUUUGAUAGUGAGCCUGAAAAACGGCUACCACAUCUAAGGAAGGCAGCAGGCACGCAGAUUAGCCAAUCCUAACAUGGGGAGUUAGUGAUAAUAAAUAACAAUACCGGGCUUAAUAAGUCUGGUAAUUGGAAGGAGCACAAUCUAAAUCCCUUAACGAGGAUCUAUUAGAGGGAAUGUUUGGUGCCAACAGCCACGGUAAUUCUAGCUCUAAGCGUAUAUUUAAGUCGUUGCAGUUAAAAAAAUCAUAGUUCGACGUUAGGAUGGGUCGUCUUGUCCACCAAUGGUGUGCACCGAUCACCUCGUCCCUUCUAUCCUCAAUGCACUCCUGGCAUUAACUUGCUGGGUGGUGCCUCCGCUGCUGUUACUUUGAAGAAAUUAGAGUGCUCAAAUCAAUCCUAUGCUCUGUAUACAUUAGCAUGGGAUAACAUUAUAGGAUUUUUGUCCUAUUAUGUUGGCCUUUGGGAUCGGAGUAAUGAUUAACAAGGACAGUCAGGGGUAUUUGUAUUUCAUAGUCAGAGGUGAAAUACUUGCAUUUAUUAAAGAUGAACAACUGUGAAAUCAUUUGCGAAGGAUGUUUUUAAUAAUCAAGGAUGAAAGUAUGAGGCUCAAAGACGAUCAGAUACCAUCCUAGUCUCAACCAUAAACGAUGACGACUAGGGAACGAUGGAUGUUUCUUUGACUCUGCCAGCACCUUAUGAGAAAUCAAAGUUUUUGGGUUUCGGGGAGAGUAUGGCCAUAAGGCUGAAACUUAAAGGAAUUGAUGGAAGGGAACCACCAGGAGUGGAACCACGGUUUAAUAUGACUCAACACGGGGAAACUUACCAGGUCUAGAAAUAAUAAGGAUUGAAAGACUGAGAGCUCUUUUUGAUUCUGUGGGUAGUGGUACAUGUCCGUUCUUAGUUGAUGGAGGGAGAUGUCUAGUUAAUUCUGUUAACAAACAAGACCUUAUACUACUAACUAGAUAUGUGGAGGUAUUCCUUCACGGCCAGUUUUUUAGAGGGACUACGACCUUUUAGGCCACGGAAGUUUGAGGUAAUAACAGGUAUAUGAUGCCCGUAGAUGUUCUGGGCCGCACGCGCUCUACACUGAUGUAUUCAAUGAGUUUAUAAACUUAGCCGACAGGCCCGGGUAAUCUUUGAAAUUUCAUCAUGAUGUUGAUAGAUCAUUGCAAUUAUUGGUCUUCAACAAGGAAUUCCUAUUAAGUGUGAGCCAUCAGCUCGUGUUGACUACAUCUCUGCCCUUUGUACACACCGUCUAUCGUUCCUACCAAUCGAAUAAUCUGGUAAAAUGUUCAAAUUAUGAUGAUGUGGGUGGUUCACUGCCUGCAAUAUCAUGAGAAGUCCAUUAAACCUUAUCAAUUAGAGGAAGAAAAAGUCGUAACAAGGUUUCAGUAGGUGAACCUAUGGAAG